This 253-nucleotide ribosomal RNA is filed under the name uncultured bacterium. RNAcentral describes it as "partial 16S ribosomal RNA". It matches the Rfam family "Bacterial small subunit ribosomal RNA", at positions 524 to 776 of the family's 1533-position model. The record is from RNAcentral.
UACGUAGGGUGCAAGCAUUAAUCGGAAUUACUGGGCGUAAAGCGUGCGCAGGCGGUUUUGUAAGUUUGUCGUGAAAGCCCCGGGCUCAACCUGGGAAUUGCGAUGAAGACUGCAAGGCUUGAAUCUGGCAGAGGGGGGUAGAAUUCCACGUGUAGCAGUGAAAUGCGUAGAGAUGUGGAGGAACACCGAUGGCGAAGGCAGCCCCCUGGGUCAAGAUUGACGCUCAUGCACGAAAGCGUGGGGAGCAAACGGG